GACGAUGAUUAAGAUUGGAAAG
RNAcentral lists this microRNA (22 nucleotides) under Phaeodactylum tricornutum. RNAcentral's name for it is "pti-miR5479". Lineage: Eukaryota; Bacillariophyta; Bacillariophyceae; Surirellales; Neidiaceae. The record is from miRBase by way of RNAcentral.